Long non-coding RNA from Gadus morhua (Atlantic cod), 872 nucleotides. The record is from Ensembl. NCBI's taxonomy places the organism in Eukaryota, Metazoa, Chordata, Actinopteri, Gadiformes, Gadidae.
AAAUCUUAGUCACCUGCACAGUGGUACUGCAGGACACAAUGUCCCGCGAGGAGUUCCUGCACGCCCUCAGGGAUAAAGUGCCGUACAUGCCAGAGGCCUUCGACCUCUGCAGGCUCAUUGGCCGUAGAUUCAUCGUUCUGGUCGAUGUCUGCCCGAGAGACCUUCGGGGACGUGGCAUGAUGGGCCGGUCCAAUCUGUACAUCCGACCAAAGGUACCUCUGCCACCUGCUGGCCAACCCCAACCUGCCGGCCCAGAAACCCUGCACACCCUGCCCGGCCCUUCUCUACCUCCCAGCACUUCUCCACCUCCCAGCCGUUCUCCACCUCCCAGCCGUUCUCCACCUCCCAGCCGUUCUCCACCUGACAGCAUUUCUCCACCUCCCAGCCGUUCUCCACCUCCCAGCCGUUCUCCACCUCCCAGCCGUUCUCCACCUGACAGCCCUUCUCCACCUCCCAGCCGUUCUCCACCUGACAGCCCUUCUCCACCUCCCAGCCGUUCUCCACCUUCCAGCCCUUCUCCACCUCCCAGCCCAAUCCCAUCUGCCAAUAGUCUACCUCUGGAUGUGAAGGACAUCCUUCUGCCACUGCAGGACCUGGUCUUGAGGAUGGGUCAGGGAAGCCGGGUGAACUGCUUAAGAGGGGAGGAGUUUCAAUGUGCAGCUAGGGCCUUCAACAGGUCGAGUUUUGACCCCUACGCAAAGUUGGAUGUGGUGUUUGUGGAUGGCGAUGGGGUGGCAGAAGGCGCAGUGGAUGAGGGGGGACCGACCAGAGAGUUCUGUACCCUCCUCAUCCACCAAAUACAGAAUCAUUUAGUAUUCGAAGGUCCUGAGGGCAACAAAACCCUGGCCCUGAACAGUGUUGGUAAGCUUUGA